UGUGAUUGGUCUGUGUGAGCUGGAGAGAAAGGCACCUUCCUGGUUGCUUCCUAAGGCAUCUUUGAACAUGCCAAAUGGAUCUUUCUCCCUUGGAUAGUCUCACACGCCCUUCUCCUUAACUUGUCUCCCAAGACAUGAUCAGACUUGGCUGUACGGAUGUCAUGACCGUACACCUUGUGCCCUAAGAUUGCACAUUCCUCAAAUGUGCUCAAGUGGUCUACCUGAUAAGUUUUGGGUCGAUCAUGUCCGUACGGUCCGUACCAUCCGUACGUCCGUCCGUACAGGCCGAUCCCUAACUUUGCACCAUCGACCAUAAUCUCCCAAACUCCUCCAAUGUCUUGUAUACACCUUCAAGAAACUUCUUAGAUCUUGUCUCUUCUUUGCAUCAGCUUCUAAUCACUUCUGAAGCUUGAUUGAACUUUUCUGGACAUCUUCUAGAGCUUGCCCUUUUAUUGUACAAGCUCUAUCUUCUCUUCAGUUCAACA
RNAcentral lists this long non-coding RNA (485 nucleotides) under Brassica rapa (field mustard). RNAcentral's name for it is "long non-coding RNA (BRAP_LNC008137)". The record is from RNAcentral. Lineage: Eukaryota; Viridiplantae; Streptophyta; Magnoliopsida; Brassicales; Brassicaceae.